CAGCAGGCGCGAAACCUUUACAAUGCUGGCAACAGCGAUAGGGGGACCUUGAGUGCCAGGUUACAAAUCUGGCUGUCGUUGUGUCUAAAAAACACGAUAUAGCAAGGGCCGGGCAAGACCGGUGCCAGCCGCCGCGGUAACACCGGCGGCUCGAGUGGUAACCGUUAUUAUUGGGUUUAAAGGGUCUGUAGCCGGCCUGGUUAGUCCUUUGGGAAAUCCGGCAGCUCAACUGUCGGGCUUUCAGAGGAUACUGCCAGGCUCGAGACCGGGAGAGGUAAGAGGUACUUCAGGGGUAGGGGUGAAAUCUUGUAAUCCUUGAAGGACCACCAGUGGCGAAGGCGUCUUACCAGAACGGAUCUGACGGCAAGGGACGAAAGCUAGGGGCACGAACCGGAUUAGAUACCCGGGUAGUCCUAGCCGUAAACGAUACUCGCUAGGUGUCGGCCACGGUGCGACCGUGGUCGGUGCCGUAGGGAAACCGUGAAGCGAGCCACCUGGGAAGUACGGCCGCAAGGCUGAAACUUAAAGGAAUCGGCGGGGG
Molecule: ribosomal RNA, 541 nt
Filed under: uncultured archaeon
Lineage: Archaea
Description: bacterial SSU rRNA
Rfam family: Archaeal small subunit ribosomal RNA
Source: RNAcentral